AAUCACUGUUUAAUGAUUAAUUACUGCAGGCUGGUGUCAGGGUGAGACAUUCAAGGCUUCAGGCAAAAGUCUUAACUAUAGAAAAUGACAGCAGGUGGGAUUUUGCCAAAAAGAGUAACUUUGCACUUCUAGUUCUAAUGAUUUGCAGUGCCUUUUGAUCCAUUUGUAAACAGCAAGAUGGUAAAAGACUAAAACUAUCUGGUAAUAAAUGCCAACAAUAACAAGAAAUUGUUCCCUGAGAAAGUCUUAGGAUGUCUGGUCACAUGGAGAAGAUGCUGUACCUAGAUCUUUUGGAACAAAGUAGGGACUAUUGGGCCUUAUUCUCUCAGAUCAUCUCCAAUAAAGAAUGAACUCAGUCUCCAAUCACUAGGACAAGGAAGAUAAAGACUCAGAAAAAAGGGGACUGGGGUUUAUGGAAGCAAUGAUGCUGAGGAGAUGGACCUGGAAAUCCUGACUCCAUUGUGGAUGUUGGUGUUGUAGUCAUGCUGCUUUCUUUGCCAGAUCCAGAGCUAGCAUCAACCCUGUGGGGAGCUUUGGGAUGGUAACCAGCCUCUUAUGGGGAACAGAAGAGUUAUGGACAGACAGCAUCCCUGUGCUGGGGCUCCUAGGAGUACUGCCAUCUCAGCCUGACUUAACGGAGCUUAGAAUUGGCUUUCAGUGAUAGUUUUUUGGACUACUGGAAUCCUUUGAAUAUUGGAGAAGCUUUCUGCCUACUUUUGCCUUCCUGUGUCCUGAGCACAACUCUGGAGGAGGAAAGUCAGUGGCCCCUCAAGAUUUAACCUCAGCACUGUUAGUUAGAGCUCUGCUCCAUUUACAGGAGAUGAGCCUCGGAUUGACAUAAUGAGGGCAUAAGGGAUCAAAGAUGUUUAAAAGUUUUUUGUUUUUUCUUGUUAGUUUUUAGGAAUAUGUCUUUAAAACUGGCUAUCAAUUUGCAUGUGUUGUGGUUUAAGCUAGCAGUGGCUGAGCACCAUACAGUCGUUCACUCACUCCCCUGCUUCCCACUGGGAUGGGGCAGACAAUUAAAAAAAUAGAAUUCAUGGGUUGAGAUAAAACUAAGAUAGAUAAAAUGAAAAGGAAAAUAGUUGUGACUAUAUGUAUAUAUAUAUAUGUAUAUAAGUGUAUAUAACAAGUGCUGCACAUGUGGUGAUGGUAUCUUAUGAUGGAGAAUAUCCCUUUGGCCAUUUUAAGUUAUCUGUCCUAAUUCUGUUCCCUCCCAGCUCCUUAUGCCCUUCACUGAGAACAGCCUUGGCUCUAUACAGCUCUGCUUAGCAACAACUAUAAACAUCAGUGUGUUAUCAACAUUGUUUUUCUUCUGGAACCAAAAACUUAGCAUCAUACCAGACACCCUGAAGAAAACAAUUCCAUCCCAGCUGAAAAUAAGAUGCUGUGGAAGUGUGUAUAUGUAAAAUUAUCCACUAGAAAUAAGAUUCAAUUAUCUCCUACCUACGUAUAUAAGAAUUGUAUUUGUGCUUUAGAAAAGCCUAGGUUAAUCUUCUUUAGGCUAUCCUUUGUCAGAAAUGCAAAAUGAGUGAAAAUCUUACCAUUUGCAUUUGGUAUCAUGUUGCAAUCACUUUGUGCGUGUGUCAGUGAGACAGAGCAAUUGGCAGAGCAACAGAGAAAUAGAUCUUCCAUCUCAAGUGCCUUUGUCUUCCAUAAAAUGGGAAAAGCUUUUAAUUCAAAGAAGGGGUAUUUCAUGAUAUAUAGCUUGGGAUUCCACCUUCCUUCCUCAGUAUCUUUAAUGAAGCCAAAAUCAUACCAUUUUCUUUCAAGUGAAUGCAGAUCUGAUUAGCGCUGGGAACACUUCUUGUAACUGGUGAAAAUACUUUUUCUUUCCCAGGGAAAAGCAAUAUCUUGUAUUACAUGCUAUUGACAGCCAAAAAAUGUUUAUGCUUUUGGAAAAGAGGGAGGAAAAAAAGGGUCACUUUUCAAUCUUCUGUAAACAUAUUAAAUAACUUCCAAUGAAGUAAAAAAGAAAAUUAUGUAAAGCAGAGGAUGUAGUAAAAGCUUUUUUUUUUUUUUUUUUGAGGAAAAAAUUUGACCUA
This is a long non-coding RNA of Gallus gallus (chicken), 2042 nucleotides long. The record is from Ensembl. Lineage: Eukaryota; Metazoa; Chordata; Aves; Galliformes; Phasianidae.